GAUGAACGCUGGCGGCGUGCCUAAUACAUGCAAGUCGAGCGAACAGACGAGAAGCUUGCUCCUCUGACGUUAGCGGCGGACGGGUGAGUAACACGUGGAUAACCUACCUAUAAGACUGGGAUAACUUCGGGAAACCGGAGCUAAUACCGGAUAAUAUAUUGAACCGCAUGGUUCAAUAGUGAAAGACGGUCUUGCUGUCACUUAUAGAUGGAUCCGCGCUGCAUUAGCUAGUUGGUAAGGUAACGGCUUACCAAGGCAACGAUGCGUAGCCGACCUGAGAGGGUGAUCGGCCACACUGGAACUGAGACACGGUCCAGACUCCUACGGGAGGCAGCAGUAGGGAAUCUUCCGCAAUGGGCGAAAGCCUGACGGAGCAACGCCGCGUGAGUGAUGAAGGUCUUCGGAUCGUAAAACUCUGUUAUUAGGGAAGAACAAAUGUGUAAGUAACUGUGCACAUCUUGACGGUACCUAAUCAGAAAGCCACGGCUAACUACGUG
RNAcentral lists this ribosomal RNA (497 nucleotides) under uncultured bacterium. RNAcentral's name for it is "partial 16S ribosomal RNA". It matches the Rfam family "Bacterial small subunit ribosomal RNA", at positions 28 to 507 of the family's 1533-position model. The record is from RNAcentral.